RNAcentral lists this ribosomal RNA (693 nucleotides) under uncultured bacterium. RNAcentral describes it as "bacterial SSU rRNA". It matches the Rfam family "Bacterial small subunit ribosomal RNA", at positions 111 to 803 of the family's 1533-position model. The record is from RNAcentral.
UAACGCGUAUGCAACCUGUCCGUUACAGGGGGAUAGCCCAUGGAAACGUGGAUUAACACUCCAUAAUAUAAUAUAGAGGCAUCUUUGUAUUAUUAAAUAUUCAUAGGUAACGGUUGGGCAUGCGUCCUAUUAGAUAGUUGGGGGGGUAACGGCCCACCAAGKCGAUGAUAGGUAGGGGUUCUGAGAGGAAGGUCCCCCACACUGGUACUGAGACACGGACCAGACUCCUACGGGAGGCAGCAGUGAGGAAUAUUGGUCAAUGGGCGAGAGCCUGAACCAGCCAAGUCGCGUGAGGGAUGACUGCCCUAUGGGUUGUAAACCUCUUUUGUAUGGGGGGAAUAAGCUUUACGAGUAGAGUGAUGACAGUACCAUACGAAUAAGCAUCGGCUAACUCCGUGCCAGCAGCCGCGGUAAUACGGAGGAUGCGAGCGUUAUCCGGAUUUAUUGGGUUUAAAGGGUGCGUAGGCGGCAUUAUAAGUUAGUGGUAAAAUAUUGGGGCUUCACCUCACUACGCCAUUAAUACUGUAGAGCUAGAGAACAGACGAGGUAGGCGGAAUAAGUUAAGUAGCGGUGAAAUGCAUAGAUAUAACUUAGAACACCGAUAGCGAAGGCAGCUUACCAGACUGAGUCUGACGCUGAUGCACGAGAGCAUGGGUAGCGAACAGGAUUAGAUACCCUGGUAGUCCAUGCCGU